AUUUGCCUUAAACUUCAUCACUUACUCGUGUGUCCCCACCCUGGGACUGCACUGAGGUCAGGGGCAUGAACACCCCUGGCCCCACCACUUUAUGACUGUGUGACAUUGGGCAGUCCCUGAACUUUCCUACCUCGAUUUCUUCUUUUUUUAAAAAGGAGUGAAGACUGGCUGUCCUGUCCACGUACAGGAUUGGUUCUUGGUGAGGACCCAGUGGCAGCUGCUUGACGAUUGUCAAGGGCUGAUAUCUGCUGAUGUUAAUAUCAAUGUUGUGGUAGCUGACACAGGAAAGCAUGAGGUUGGAGUUAAGGAAUGUAGUCACACACACAGAAAUUAUAGAUUAAACCAAAAUGAGUAGAACCUUCCCCAGAAAUAAAUGUGGAAGGAAAAGUAGAGAGAGGAGUUCAAAGUAUAGGUCCCAUAGGUGGUAAGCAAGGAGGAGCAGAGAAGGGUUCAUAGAGCCAGCAGGGCAGCCAGUGGAGUGUCGGAGGCAGGGCUGCCUACAUCCAUCAGUGACAGUUCAAACAAGUCAUCUGGAUCCUUACAUACACAGACGGUAACUUGGGUUGCGGUAAGAACUCCCAGUGGAGAGCCUGCUGUAGAUGAUGGGUAAGACGGGUGUCAUCAGCAAUACUCAUCGCCACCACGUGGUCCCACAGCGCUUUGAAGUCGUGUGUGUCUACUGGUAUUAAGGGGCAGCCGUCAGUCUGCCUCUCCCCUCCUCCCCGCAGACAGCGUGCCCCAUCUUGUAUGCCAAUUUCCUUUUUGCCUCUUUCCCUCUGAGAUGUUUCCCGCAUCUCUUUCCUAUUUACAGAACUAGAUUCUCUGCUACGUGAUUGUUCUGAUCCUUUUCCCUUCAGAGCUGCAACUUUUGACCUUUGCAUACUGGGAAGGGACCCAGCUGAAAACUUGAAUUGCUACAUCUUAACAAGUCAGCCAAUUAAGUUGCACCAAAGCUUCAGGCCCUUCUCCAGAGCUGCUCCAGAAGCAAAGGGCCCUGGUGAACUUGUAUUAAACACAGCAGAGUCAGUAACCCUUCUGUCUACACAGAGACUUGCACACAAAAGUUCAUAGCAGCAUUAUUCAGAAUAGCUGAAGCCUGUCAACAACCUACGUGCUCAUCGACUGAGAAAUGGAUAAAGAAAGCGAGGUCCAUCCAUGCAAGAGAACACUACCCCACAGCACAGAGAACAACCCGCUGAUCCACGCUGCACACGGAUAAACUUCAAACAUCUUCUUAAGUGAAAGAAGCCAGAUACCAAAGGCCACAUAUUGUUUGACCCCAUUUAUAUGAAAUUUCCGGAAAAGGCAAACGCAUUCAUAGAGAAAGCAGAUCACUGGUGGCCAGAGACGGAGAUGGGAGUGAAGGUUGACUACAAAUGAGCACAAGGGAGCUCUUUUUGGGGGAUGGAAUUGUUCUACAACUGGGUUGUGGUGAUGGUUGCACAACUGUAUAAAAGUACUAAAACUCAUUGAAUUGUACGCUUAGAUAAGCGUGUGUUAUGCCAUAUAUAUUAUACCUCAAGAAAGCUGUUUAAAAAAUAGUAUUACUGAUCCAUGUGAAAAAUGCAAACAUUAUAAGGCUGUAUAAUUUAGGAAUUGAAACUCAUAGCUCUUCCCACUGUUAAAGACAUAAUUAUUCACGACACUUGUUAAGACGGUGGGGCAGACUUUAUGCAGGACCAUCACAAUAGCUAUGGGAACCACUGCAAGGAGGUUUUGCUGUAGGGAAGGGAGACGGGCUUGACUCCAGUUACACAAGGGAAAGUGGGAAUUUACAGCUAAGGAGAGAGUAGGAGGGGUCAGUGGGUGGAAAAUUACUAAGCAGAAACAUCACGGGCAAGAAGGUGUUCUGGCUGACCUGACCUCACAGGAUUCUUGCUGAAGCCAGACGGGUGAGCAGACAUCACCUGGGAUGCUGAUCAGAUAACGAGGGUGAUCAGAUAUCGAGGGGGCGGGAUCUGGCUAAACCCACUUGACAGGAUUCUUGCUACAAGUGGGCUCCUGGAGGACAUGCCCAGGGACAGGGCCUAGUCGGGCUCAGAGGAGCCUGACUAAAGUUUGGUCACAGGUGCAUCUUUGUCACCACUGCCCAAAUACAAGUACUUCGAUAAUUUGAUUUAUAUCAUUCUAGAUUUUUCUUUACAUCUACUAACAUAGAGAUGUAUGCUCAGAUUUUUAAAGAGAAAAAUUGCAUUUGUUCUUCCGCGUCUUAAUUUUCCUGUUAACAACAGGGCUCAGACCCUGGUCCUUGGAUGUUUAUCUGGGUGUGUGUGAGGCUCUGAGGUCACAUGAGGCGCAGCGUGCAGGCCUAAAUCAGCAACCUCUCCCCACAGCCCUUCCACAUUCCUUGCUGAGGGUGGGCAGCCUCAAGCCAGGGCCAGAGACAGGAUGUGGGGGUUUGUUUUCACAGGCCUUUCUUGCUCUCAGAUCCAGAGCCAGGGCCAGAAGCCUCAAAACAGGCGUCUGUACAAAGCCUUUCCGAACAGUGUAGUGAGUGACUAGUAAGAGUCAGGGGGAAGAUGGCAAAGAUCAAGGUAGUGAUUCAAAUGCAAAAGAUCUUCCUUGACUUAUCAUGAGGUUAUGCCCCAUAAACCCAUCGUAAAUUGAAAAUAUCCUGUCGAAAAUGCAUUUAAUACCCCUAACCUACCGAACAUCCUCGCUUAGCCUCAUCUACCUUAAACAUGCUCAGAACACUUACAUCAGCUUACAGUUGGGCAAAAUCAUCUCACACAGAACCUACUUUAUAAUAAGUGUUGCACAUCUCAUGUAAUUGACUACUGUACUGAAAGUGACAAACAGGAUGGUUGUGUGGGUGCAGAAUGGUUGGAAGUCUAUCAGUUGCUCACCCCCGUGAUCCUGUGGCUGACGGGGAGCUGCAGCAGCUGCUGCCGCCCAGCAUCACGAGAGAGGGUUGUACUGCACAGCACUGGCCCCGGAAAUGACCACAAAUCAAAGUUCAAAGUAUGGUUUCUACUGAAUGCAUAUCACUUGCACCAUCAUAAAGUUGAAAAAUGAUAAGUCAAAACAUCGUAAGUUGGGGACCAUCUUUAGUAGAAAAUUGAAUGUAGUCAUACAUCACAUAACGAUGUUUCAGUCAACAACAAACCACAUAUACAACGGGAGUCCCAUAAGAUGGUACCAUCGAGCCUAGGUGUGUAGUAGGCUAUACCAUCUAGGUUUGUGUGAGUCACUCCAUGAUGUUCACACAAGGACUAAAUCACCUAAUGGCACACUUCUCAGAACAUGUCAUCACUGUUAAGAGACACAUGACUGUAUUUGGUAUGGCAUUUGACCCAAAGAAAAAUUACUACUUUACCUUUUUUUUUCCCAAAGAUUGGCACCUGAGCUAACAAUUGUUGCCAGUCUUUUUUUUUCUGCUUUUUCUCCCCAAAUCCCAGUACCUAGUUGCAUAUUUCAGUUGUAGCUCCUUCCAGUUGUGGCAUGUGGGACACCGCCUCAGCAUGGCCUAAUGAGUGAUGCCACGUCUGCACCUAGGAUCCAAACCGGUGGAACCCUGGGCCGCCGAAGGGGAGUAUGCGAACUUAACCACUUGGCCAUGGGGCUGGCCCCAACUUCCUAGUUUACUUUUAAAAAGUCAGUGCAUUACAUUGCAAGCACUUGUUCUUUCUGUAUCAGAGAAAGGAUGUCAGGGCCGCUUCAGACUACCUAUAUGUACAGACUACAAUAGAUGUACCCCGAGAGUUAGUUCAAAAAGAUGGAUUUGCAAGGGGAAAAUGCCAGAGGCUUUCUCUUCCUAUAAUCAGGACCAUGAUUUGCUGCGAGUGUUGAGCUUGUUGGAAAUAUCCCACAGGCUUCACCAUUUGAGUGCACAGUGCAUAAUGUUAAUCCUUGAGGAUUAAUAGGGAAGUAAGAUUAACAGACCAGCAUCCCUCAUCUUCAAUAAUGAACUGGUCGUCUCCUGAGCUUUUAUAUCAUGCUGCGGAGAUUGAAAAG
Equus caballus (horse) is the source of this 3954-nucleotide long non-coding RNA. The record is from Ensembl. NCBI's taxonomy places the organism in Eukaryota, Metazoa, Chordata, Mammalia, Perissodactyla, Equidae.